AAUGAUGUUAUUUUAAUGAAAUCUGACAUAUAUUUACCCUUUUGCUUCAGGGAAAUAGCAUUUGU
Ciona intestinalis (vase tunicate) is the source of this 65-nucleotide non-coding RNA. Lineage: Eukaryota; Metazoa; Chordata; Ascidiacea; Phlebobranchia; Cionidae. The record is from RefSeq.